AUGAGGGCCCCCACCGCUUUGGUCCCGUCUGCCUUAUCUUCUCCACGAACCCAAUCCUCCACCAGUUUCUCUUUCUUUUCCCCUUCCUCGUUCAUGACGCGGCAGAGGAGAGGCAGCACCACAACCCGCAGCGGAGGAGGGGACUUCGGCGCCGCCUUGAUUCAUCUCACUCAAGGGGCUGCAAUGAAGCACCGCCACAGCUGUAUUGGAGCGCAGCCGGAGCUGCAUCGCAACACAUCCCUGCGCUGCAUCGCAGCUUCAGCCAUGUCCGCCGCGUGCUGCAUCCCAACAUCCGUCGCCGCCGGCGCCGCAUCGCACCAACCACCGCACCGCGUCGAAGCUUCCGUCACCAUCACCAUGCGCUGCAUCGCAGCAUCCCCGCUGCGUCGCAGCUCCCGCCAUGGCCGCCAUCAGCUGCCCGCUAACACAGCUCUUCGUCAGGGCCGGCUCGUCGGCGGCGCCGAAGAGGCGAGGCAGCUGCACGAAGCGGGCGAGCUGCGGCGCCUCCUCGAAGGCACCGCGGGGCAGGACCCGGCCUUCGUUUGCGACGCGUGCGGGGGCGUCCGCUUCGUGCCCUGCCCCGCCUGCGCUGGCUCCCGCAAGGUUUUCGUGGAGGAAGGACGCACCAGCUGCUGCGGCCACUGCAACGAGAACGGCUUGUGA
This 663-nucleotide ribosomal RNA is filed under the name Triticum aestivum (bread wheat). RNAcentral's name for it is "partial small subunit ribosomal RNA". Lineage: Eukaryota; Viridiplantae; Streptophyta; Magnoliopsida; Poales; Poaceae. The record is from RNAcentral.